Non-coding RNA from Caenorhabditis elegans, 122 nucleotides. The record is from Ensembl. Lineage: Eukaryota; Metazoa; Nematoda; Chromadorea; Rhabditida; Rhabditidae.
CAGGUAUUGUUGUACAGAUUACAUAAGACUUGCCGCCAGCAAUCCAAUUAAUUAUGCACAUCCUCCUUGUAGUCACUUAUAAUGAGAGGUCAUCUUACCUUUUUGUGUAUACACACACCUUG